This 256-nucleotide unclassified non-coding RNA is filed under the name Nectriaceae sp. RNAcentral's name for it is "partial contains 5.8S ribosomal RNA, internal transcribed spacer 2, and large subunit ribosomal RNA". Lineage: Eukaryota; Fungi; Ascomycota; Sordariomycetes; Hypocreales; Nectriaceae. The record is from RNAcentral.
CGCACAUUGCGCCCGCCAGUACUCUGGCGGGCAUGCCUGUUCGAGCGUCAUUUCAACCCUCAAGCACCGCUUGGCGUUGGGGAUCAGCCGCGCUGACUAGAGCCGGCUGGCCCUGAAAUACAGUGGCGGUCUCGCUGUCGCCUCCCCUGCGUAGUAGCACACCUCGCUCCGGAGAGCAGCGCGGCCACGCCGUAAAACCCCCCCCGAAUCUGAAAAGGUUGACCUCGAAUCAGGUAGGAAUACCCGCUGAACUUAA